This 251-nucleotide ribosomal RNA is filed under the name uncultured bacterium. RNAcentral describes it as "partial 16S ribosomal RNA". It matches the Rfam family "Bacterial small subunit ribosomal RNA", at positions 524 to 776 of the family's 1533-position model. The record is from RNAcentral.
UACGAAGGGGCUAGCGUUGCUCGGAUUGACUGGGCGUAAAGGGCGCGUAGGCGGUUCGUACAGUCAGACGUGAAAUUCCUGGGCUCAACCUGGGGGCUGCGUUUGAUACGUGCGGGCUUGAGUGCGGAAGAGGGUCGUGGAAUUCCCAGUGUAGAGGUGAAAUUCGUAGAUAUUGGGAAGAACACCGGUGGCGAAGGCGGCGACCUGGUCCGAUACUGACGCUGAGUGCGAAAGCGUGGGGAGCAAACAGG